GAGGAAUAAGCAUCGGCUAACUCCGUGCCAGCAGCCGCGGUAAUACGGGGGAUGCAAGCGUUAUCCGGAAUCAUUGGGCGUAAAGCGCCUGUAGGUUGUUUAAUAAGUCUGUUGUUAAAGACUAGGGCUUAACCCUAGAAAAGCAAUGGAAACUACUAGACUAGAGUAUGGCAGGGGUAGAGGGAAUUUCUAGUGUAGCGGUGAAAUGCGUAGAUAUUAGAAAGAACACCGGUGGCGAAAGCGCUCUACUGGACCAUUACUGACACUCAGAGACGAAAGCUAGGGUAGCAAAAGGGAUUAGAUACCCCUGUAGUCCUAGCCGUAAACGAUGGAUACUAGAUGUUGUGCAUAAUGUACAGUAUCGUAGCUAACGCGUUAAGUAUCCCGCCUGGGGAGUACGCUCGCAAGGGUGAAACUCAAAGGAAUUGACGGGGGCCCGCACAAGCGGUGGAGCAUGUGGUUUAAUUCGAUGCAACGCGAAGAACCUUACCAGGGCUUGACAUACUACAGAUUCUUUUGAGAAAAAGAAGUGCCUUCGGGAAUGUAGAUACAGGUGGUGCAUGGCUGUCGUCAGCUCGUGUCGUGAGAUGUUGGGUUAAGUCCCGCAACGAGCGCAACCCUUAUUUUUAGUUACUAAUUCGUUAGGUUCUCUAGAAAGACUGCCGGUGACAAACCGGAGGAAGGUGAGGAUGACGUCAAGUCAGCAUGCCCCUUAUGUCCUGGGCUACACACGUGCUACAAUGGUUAAGACAAAGAGUCGCGAGCUCGCGAGAGUCAGCUAAUCUCAUAAACUUAGCCUAAGUUCAGAUUGUAGGCUGCAACUCGCCUACAUGAAG
This 836-nucleotide ribosomal RNA is filed under the name Haptophyta environmental samples. RNAcentral describes it as "bacterial SSU rRNA". It matches the Rfam family "Bacterial small subunit ribosomal RNA", at positions 481 to 1325 of the family's 1533-position model. Lineage: Eukaryota; Haptophyta. The record is from RNAcentral.